CGAUGACGACGGCCAGAGCGAGCGCGGUGGAGGCUGGAGACGAGUCCCACUGCAGCGGUUUACUCUGAGACUUUCUGCUGCGGCUCAGAGACCAGCCCACACACAGACUCAGCAGCAGAUGCUUUAUGUUUUAUCCAGAGCUGAUCUGAGUCGAUCCGUGAGAUCAUGAGACUAACGCUGUGACAGACUCACAUUCGGCGAGGCUCCCCGUCAGCGGCGUCCCCACACCGUCUCGAGCGUACCUGCGGGUCCAGUCACACACAUCAUCAUCUCGCAUCAAUAAACCACCACAAAUUGGCGUCUCGAACAGGAUUGGAAAGGAGCAAGAGGGUGGAAGACCACUUUGACAAGCAACACAAACAGAGGCCACUAAAGGUAAGCAGUUUUUGCUUAUAUAGUCUGAGAGUCUGCCUGUGCUGGUAAGGACCUCCUCCAAAUUUAAAGAACAAAAAGAAAAAAGGGGUUUGUGUCCAUUAGAAAUAAAUGCAUGCAACGAUCUGUGUUUACUGUUAUAACUGGGCCUUGAGGAUAGCAAUAAAUGUUAAGCGGAUAGAGUAUAGAUAAGCGUG
Molecule: long non-coding RNA, 569 nt
Organism: Onychostoma macrolepis
Lineage: Eukaryota; Metazoa; Chordata; Actinopteri; Cypriniformes; Cyprinidae
Exons: 3
Source: RefSeq, a predicted model, not a curated record